RNAcentral lists this long non-coding RNA (830 nucleotides) under Calidris pugnax (ruff). RNAcentral describes it as "lncRNA (ENSCPUG00000007342.1)". The record is from RNAcentral. Lineage: Eukaryota; Metazoa; Chordata; Aves; Charadriiformes; Scolopacidae.
CCUCAUGCCACAGGGAUUCCACCUGGUUAUAAACCUCAUUCAUGAGGUGACGAACAGGUCUGUGAAAAUGAUUGGUGUCACUUGCUGAGGUUGCCUGAGCCAGAGGAAGCCAUUUCCCUCAUGGCUGGAAUCUCUCUUUUAUUGCUGUAAAUAGGAUUAGUGCUUGCAAGAAUUAAUCAUCUGGGCCUCUGCCUGUCCUCUAAGUGCAUAAGCUCUUGUCAACUAUAAGGUCUCAUUGACUAUGUAAUUUAGUCAGUGGAGGCCAGAAACUGACUUUGAUUACUCUAGACACCUUACGGCUGGUCAACUCAAUAGCUUUCUAGAUCCCACUAGGUAAUAUUGACUGUAUCUCCUUUGAUUGCAAUGCAACCUUAUAGAUAAAGUGCAUGUAUAAUCACCUGCAUGUAGACACCUGGAUUUCUGUGUCUGUGUCUCGAAACUGAGCCCUGCUUCUAGUCUUUCUGUUACAGCCUUUCAUAACAGGUUUCAAGAUCAGUGUCUGGAAUUUGACUCGGUGGAAACCAUCGUUCUUCACCUGACGUUGGCAGAAAGCAGUUUCCUGUCCUUCUUCCUGCUGCUUCCUAUAGAAUCUCUUCCUUGAAAGACCAGGCUUGCCCAGUCUGUUUAAAAACCAGGGGCAGAUCAUCGCGUGGCUCUUUGGGCGAGCAGCACACGGUGGUUUGGGUUGGAUUGGUCACGACUGUUCACACUGAUCCCAGAGCUCUACAGCACCCAAGAGAGCAAUAGAGCGAGGAAAGAUCCAGGAUGGACAAUUCUAGAAUUCCCUCAGCCUCAAGGAAAUCCUUUUCACGGAAUCACGGAAUUGUCAG